This 423-nucleotide ribosomal RNA is filed under the name Salmonella enterica subsp. enterica serovar Weltevreden. RNAcentral describes it as "partial 23S ribosomal RNA". It matches the Rfam family "Bacterial large subunit ribosomal RNA", at positions 109 to 572 of the family's 2925-position model. Lineage: Bacteria; Pseudomonadati; Pseudomonadota; Gammaproteobacteria; Enterobacterales; Enterobacteriaceae. The record is from RNAcentral.
GAUACCCGAAUGGGGAAACCCAGUGUGAUUCGUCACACUAUCAUUAACUGAAUCCAUAGGUUAAUGAGGCGAACCGGGGGAACUGAAACAUCUAAGUACCCCGAGGAAAAGAAAUCAACCGAGAUUCCCCCAGUAGCGGCGAGCGAACGGGGAGGAGCCCAGAGCCUGAAUCAGCAUGUGUGUUAGUGGAAGCGUCUGGAAAGGCGCGCGAUACAGGGUGACAGCCCCGUACACAAAAGCGCAUGUGCUGUGAGCUCGAUGAGUAGGGCGGGACACGUGGUAUCCUGUCUGAAUAUGGGGGGACCAUCCUCCAAGGCUAAAUACUCCUGACUGACCGAUAGUGAACCAGUACCGUGAGGGAAAGGCGAAAAGAACCCCGGCGAGGGGAGUGAAAAAGAACCUGAAACCGUGUACGUACAAGCA